RNAcentral lists this ribosomal RNA (347 nucleotides) under uncultured bacterium. RNAcentral's name for it is "bacterial SSU rRNA". It matches the Rfam family "Bacterial small subunit ribosomal RNA", at positions 8 to 334 of the family's 1533-position model. The record is from RNAcentral.
AGGGUUUGAUUAUGGCUCAGGACGAACGCUGGCGGCGUGCUUAACACAUGCAAGUCGAACGAGACGAUUGAAAGCUUGCUUUUGAAAGUCGAGUGGCAAACGGGUGAGUAACGCGUAGACAACCUGCCGUAAAGAUGGGGACAACAGUCCGAAAGGACUGCUAAUACCGAAUGUUGUAAAUCUUCCGCAUGGAAGACUUACUAAAGGUGGCCUCUACUUGUAAGCUAUCGCUUUACGAUGGGUCUGCGUCUGAUUAGCUGGUUGGUGGGGUAACGGCCUACCAAGGCGACGAUCAGUAGCCGGUCUGAGAGGAUGAACGGCCACAUUGGAACUGAGACACGGUCCAG